AAGUCGUAACAAGGUCUCCGUUGGUGAACCAGCGGAGGGAUCAUUGCUGGAACAAACGCCCUCACGGGUGCUACCCAGAAGCCCCCUGUGAAUUAUACCUAAAAAAACCUGUUGCCUCGGCUUUUGGUUGCCUCCCUCGGGAGUCCCUUCGCAAGAAGGAGCAGACCGGCCGGUGGCCCCAUAAACUCUUGUUUUUGUAACAUCAUCUGAGUAAAAAACAACUAAAUGAAUCAAAA
Molecule: unclassified non-coding RNA, 236 nt
Filed under: plant metagenome
Description: partial contains small subunit ribosomal RNA and internal transcribed spacer 1
Rfam family: Eukaryotic small subunit ribosomal RNA (bases 1-46)
Source: RNAcentral